This is a long non-coding RNA of Photinus pyralis (common eastern firefly), 890 nucleotides long. RefSeq lists it as uncharacterized. The transcript is spliced from 3 exons. Lineage: Eukaryota; Metazoa; Arthropoda; Insecta; Coleoptera; Lampyridae. The record is from RefSeq and is a predicted model, not a curated record.
CGUAAACUGCACUAGUUCCGAGUACAGUGCAGUAGAAACAAAUUAUAACCUAGGCAAAAUUGCAACACAAAUUCUUAUUACAUUAUAUACUAAACACAGCCUGGCGUUCACGCUCAAGAUGCUGCAAGAACCUAUCUAUUUAACGGGGACGGCGAGAUCUUUCGCCAAGUGUACAUGCCGGUUCGAAGGAAAAGAAGACCCGAAGCCCUUCAUUGACAGCAGAAACAGCUACAAUGCAUGUACAUUGUACCCAAGUCUCAGACGACAACGUGAAUUCAACCCUAUAACUGAUUUUGCACAUAGAAAAUAUUAUUAGCUUAACGCCUUACCACAACAGAAAUCGAAAAUAACCGUAGAAAACAUUCACCCUUAUACUGUUCUGAUUAGAAAUUUGUUUCAUGCCUUUACACACUACGCUACACUGACAACGCUGGAAUUUGUUUCAUAAAAUAAUUAAUGCUACCUUUGAUCUCGACAAGAUUACUUCCGACGCUGCACGUGUCUUCAGUCCCGAUUAAACUAAUGAUAUAGGUAAUAUCACUUAAUCUGAUUGCUGAAAUGGGCAGCUUUAAACCCUAAUCAUAAAUUAUAAUUUCAGUGUAGUGCAAGUACAAGCAAUUCAAUUAUAACAGUUUCACAAUACGUUGUUACAAAACUCGUAAAUCAUAUAAACGAGGAUGAAAGUCAUUUUCAUCCAUGCUGUUGAUAAUAAAUAAAUCACGUUUGAGUAUCGCUUGCCAGUUUUCAGGUACACCUAAAUCCUGUUCAGAACCUUGUAGCUUAUUUUAUUAUAAUUUGCAACGUGUUAUAUAGAAUCGAUUAGAGUAAGAUUAAUUACGUUUAUAUAUUACCUAUAAUGAGACUAUAUCAUUCUGUACCAUCACUCUCUC